This 68-nucleotide transfer RNA is filed under the name Oedipoda miniata. RNAcentral's name for it is "tRNA-Ala". It matches the Rfam family "tRNA". Rfam says of the family: Transfer RNA (tRNA) molecules are approximately 80 nucleotides in length. Their secondary structure includes four short double-helical elements and three loops (D, anti-codon, and T loops). Further hydrogen bonds mediate the characteristic L-shaped molecular structure. tRNAs have two regions of fundamental functional importance: the anti-codon, which is responsible for specific mRNA codon recognition, and the 3' end, to which the tRNAs corresponding amino acid is attached (by aminoacyl-tRNA synthetases). tRNAs cope with the degeneracy of the genetic code in two manners: having more than one tRNA (with a specific anti-codon) for a particular amino acid; and 'wobble' base-pairing, i.e. permitting non-standard base-pairing at the 3rd anti-codon position. Lineage: Eukaryota; Metazoa; Arthropoda; Insecta; Orthoptera; Acrididae. The record is from RNAcentral.
AGGGUUGUAGUUAAACAUAACAUUUGGUUUGCAAUCAAAAAGUAUUGAAUAUUAUUCAAUCAACCUUA